GACGAACGCUGGCGGCGUGCUUAACACAUGCAAGUCGAACGGUGAAGCGCCUUCCUUUUUGGUGGGUGUGGAUGAGUGGCGAACGGGUGAGUAACACGUGAGUAACCUGCCCCCUUCUUCUGGAUAACCGCAUGAAAGUGUGGCUAAUACGGGAUAUUCUGGGUCUGUCGCAUGAUGGGUCUGGGAAAGAUAUUGUUUCGGUGGGGGAUGGGCUCGCGGCCUAUCAGCUUGUUGGUGGGGUGAUGGCCUACCAAGGCGGGGACGGGUAGCCGGCCUGAGAGGGUGGCCGGCCACGCUGGGACUGAGCCCCGGCCCAGCCUCCUACGGGAGGCAGCGGGGGGGAUUAUUGCACAAUGGGCGCAAGCCUGAUGCAGCGACGCCGCGUGAGGGAUGGCGGCCUUCGGGUUGUGAACCUCUUUCGCCAGUGAAGCAGGCCUGCCUCGUUUGUGGGUGGGUUGACGGUAGCUGGAUAAGAAGCGCCGGCUAACUACGUG
RNAcentral lists this ribosomal RNA (494 nucleotides) under uncultured bacterium. RNAcentral's name for it is "partial 16S ribosomal RNA". It matches the Rfam family "Bacterial small subunit ribosomal RNA", at positions 28 to 507 of the family's 1533-position model. The record is from RNAcentral.